This 253-nucleotide ribosomal RNA is filed under the name uncultured bacterium. RNAcentral describes it as "partial 16S ribosomal RNA". It matches the Rfam family "Bacterial small subunit ribosomal RNA", at positions 524 to 776 of the family's 1533-position model. The record is from RNAcentral.
UACAGAGGGUGCGAGCGUUGUCCGGAAUCACUGGGCGUAAAGGGCGCGUAGGUGGUUGGGUAAGCGUGUGGUGAAAGCCCGGGGCUCAACCCCGGGUCGGCCAUGCGAACUGCCCGACUGGAGCAUGGUAGAGGCAGGCGGAAUUGACGGUGUAGCGGUGAAAUGCAUAGAUAUCGUCAAGAACACCGAUAGCGAAGGCAGCUUACUAAGCUGUAACUGACGCUGAGGCACGAAAGUGUGGGGAUCAAACAGG